RNAcentral lists this non-coding RNA (29 nucleotides) under Homo sapiens (human). Lineage: Eukaryota; Metazoa; Chordata; Mammalia; Primates; Hominidae. The record is from RNAcentral.
UUAGAGUGAACGGCGUUCUCAUUAGAGAU